AGAAGGCGAAGUUAUGAAGAAGAGUAUCCCCUUGACAGAGAUUCAAGGAGACAUGAGAAAACAUAUGUGGGUUCUUACCAUGAGAUGGAUACUUUUCGUGAUCGUGAGAUUGAUUCAUACCAGGAACUUGAUAAGUUCCGUGAUGGCUAUCGCAACACGGAAAACUAUUAUGAUCAUGGGUUUGACAGGGGUGCUAGGUUUGGGGGACG
RNAcentral lists this unclassified non-coding RNA (209 nucleotides) under Hevea brasiliensis (rubber tree). The record is from RNAcentral. Lineage: Eukaryota; Viridiplantae; Streptophyta; Magnoliopsida; Malpighiales; Euphorbiaceae.